UGGGGAAUAUUGCACAAUGGGCGAAAGCCUGAUGCAGCAACGCCGCGUGGAGGAUGAAGGCCUUCGGGUUGUAAACUCUUGUCUUCUGGGACGAUAAUGACGGUACCAGAGGAGGAAGCCACGGCUAACUACGUGCCAGCAGCCGCGGUAAUACGUAGGUGGCAAGCGUUGUCCGGAUUUACUGGGCGUAAAGGAUGCGUAGGCGGAUAUUUAAGUGGGAUGUGAAAUACCCGGGCUCAACCUGGGUGCUGCAUUCCAAACUGGAUAUCUGGAGUGCGGGAGAGGAUAGUGGAAUUCCUAGUGUAGCGGUGAAAUGCGUAUAGAUUAGGAAGAACACCAGUGGCGAAGGCGACUUUCUGGACCGUAACUGACGCUGAGGCAUGAAAGCGUGGGGAGCAAACA
RNAcentral lists this ribosomal RNA (402 nucleotides) under uncultured bacterium. Its description in RNAcentral is "bacterial SSU rRNA". It matches the Rfam family "Bacterial small subunit ribosomal RNA", at positions 355 to 774 of the family's 1533-position model. The record is from RNAcentral.